CCUACGGGAGGCAGCAGUGAGGAAUAUUGGUCAAUGGUCGGGAGACUGAACCAGCCAAGCCGCGUGAGGGAUGAAGGUACAGAGUAUCGUAAACCUCUUUUGUCAGGGAACAAAGGCGGGGACGUGUCCCCGGAUGAGUGUACCUGAAGAAAAAGCAUCGGCUAACUCCGUGCCAGCAGCCGCGGUAAUACGGAGGAUGCGAGCGUUAUCCGGAUUUAUUGGGUUUAAAGGGUGCGCAGGCGGUCUGUUAAGUCAGCGGUAAAAGCCCGGGGCUCAACCCCGGCCCGCCGUUGAUACUGGCAGUCUCGAGUUGGAGAGAAGUAUGCGGAAUGCGCGGUGUAGCGGUGAAAUGCAUAGAUAUCGCGCAGAACUCCGAUUGCGAAGGCAGCAUGCCGGCUCCACACUGACGCUGAGGCACGAAAGCGUGGGUAUCGAACAGGAUUAGAUACCCUUGUAGUC
RNAcentral lists this ribosomal RNA (459 nucleotides) under uncultured bacterium. Its description in RNAcentral is "partial 16S ribosomal RNA". It matches the Rfam family "Bacterial small subunit ribosomal RNA", at positions 338 to 795 of the family's 1533-position model. The record is from RNAcentral.